Molecule: ribosomal RNA, 422 nt
Filed under: Boophis tasymena
Lineage: Eukaryota; Metazoa; Chordata; Amphibia; Anura; Mantellidae
Description: partial 16S ribosomal RNA
Rfam family: Bacterial large subunit ribosomal RNA
Source: RNAcentral
GGGUUUUACUGUCUCCCCCUUUUAAUCGGUGAAACUGAUCUCCCCGUGAAGAAGCGGGGAUAACUAUAUAAGACGAGAAGACCCCAUGGAGCUUUAAACCCAGCAACACCUAUCUUUAUACACCCUUAUAUUCACGUAACUCUACUUGCUCGGUUUUAGGUUGGGGUGACCGCGGAGCACAACAAAACCUCCACGAAAAAAGGACCAACAAUCCUUAUCCAAGAUGCACAUAUCUAAGAAUUAAUAUAUUAACUUUUAAUGAUCCGUUAUUCGAUCAACGAACCAAGUUACCCUGGGGAUAACAGCGCAAUCUACCUCGAGAGCUCCUAUCGACAGGUAGGUUUACGACCUCGAUGUUGGAUCAGGGUAUCCCAGUGGUGCAGCAGCUACUAAAGGUUCGUUUGUUCAACGAUUAAAACCCU